Long non-coding RNA from Clupea harengus (Atlantic herring), 740 nucleotides. NCBI's taxonomy places the organism in Eukaryota, Metazoa, Chordata, Actinopteri, Clupeiformes, Clupeidae. The record is from Ensembl.
UGCAUUACGCAUGCACGAACAUGUUAACACGUUAGGAUGUACCACCACGGCUCACUAAAACCUCUUGCUGGACAAAUGUCUGGUUUGUGACUCCCAUACAUACUCGAAUUCUCAUUCAAUUUCUGUUUACCAUGCAGUUUAGAAUUUGUGGGGGGUGGGGAGGGGUUGCGAGCGGUAAAAAAUCGGCAUCAUGUGCAACUUGGAUUUCUGACCCUACCCGCCCUUCGGUCUCUCAUGUAGGCUACUGUAUCAAACAAGCAACUGCCCUCCUAUUUAGAGUUACAGAGACUAACUACGUGCCUAAAGUGUCAGAGGGUUCUACCCGGGACUAGCCUGGGGGUGAACUGUAUUUUACUUAAUGACCUGUUAUUUGAACAGUUAUUGGUAGCCUACCAACUCUCUCGAUUGUUACCAUACUAUUUUUUUUUUUUUUGCAAUACGUCGAACGUAGCUCACAAACCAUAGCCUACUUCUAUUUGAUGAAGUAAACUCAAGCCUGACAGAUAAGGAGAUGUUCCUUAUCUGUAUGCGGCUCACGAAACGAAGGUGUGCACGCGCCACAUAGCACCAGCACCCUCAGUGCGUCUCGGACAGAGGUGAGCUACAGAGGCAUCCACUGCUUCCUGGCUUGGCUGACCGUUACUCACCCCUGGUGUUCUGAUUAAUGCAUAGAUUCAAAAAUGAAGUGGCUCAACCUUUCUCCAGUGCAGGUCUGUAAUUGCAAGUAAAAAUGACAAUGA